UUGAUACUUCCUCCGUCCCAAAAUUCUUGUCUUAAAUUCGUCUUUAUACGGAUAUAUCUAAUACUAAAACGUGACUUGAUACAUCCGUAUUUAGAUAAAUUUAAGAUAAGAAUUUUUUGGACGGAGGGAGUAUAUA
Molecule: non-coding RNA, 136 nt
Organism: Triticum aestivum (bread wheat)
Lineage: Eukaryota; Viridiplantae; Streptophyta; Magnoliopsida; Poales; Poaceae
Source: Rfam